AUUGAACGCUGGCGGCAUGCCUUACACAUGCAAGUCGAACGGUAACAGGUCUUCGGAUGCUGACGAGAGGCGAACGGGUGAGUAAUACAUCGGAACGUGCCCAGACGUGGGGGAUAACGAGGCGAAAGCUUUGCUAAUACCGCAUACGAUCUAAGGAUGAAAGCAGGGGACCGCAAGGCCUUGUGCGUUUGGAGCGGCCGAUGGCAGAUUAGGUAGUUGGUGGGAUAAAAGCUUACCAAGCCGACGAUCUGUAGCUGGUCUGAGAGGACGACCAGCCACACUGGGACUGAGACACGGCCCAGACUCCUACGGGAGGCAGCAGUGGGGAAUUUUGGACAAUGGGCGAAAGCCUGAUCCAGCAAUGCCGCGUGCAGGAUGAAGGCCUUCGGGUUGUAAACUGCUUUUGUACGGAACGAAAAGGCUCUGGCUAAUACCUGGGGCACAUGACGGUACCGUAAGAAUAAGCACCGGCUAACUACGUG
Molecule: ribosomal RNA, 482 nt
Filed under: uncultured bacterium
Lineage: Bacteria
Description: partial 16S ribosomal RNA
Rfam family: Bacterial small subunit ribosomal RNA
Source: RNAcentral